UCCUGGUGGCUCAGAUGGUAAAGCAUCUGCCUACAACACAGAAGACCCAGGUUCAAUCCCUGCAUUAGGAA
This is a non-coding RNA of Ovis aries (sheep), 71 nucleotides long. The record is from Rfam. Lineage: Eukaryota; Metazoa; Chordata; Mammalia; Artiodactyla; Bovidae.